AGAGUUUGAUCCUGGCUCAGGAUGAACGCUAGCGGCAGGCUUAACACAUGCAAGUCGUGGGGCAGCGCGCUGUAGCAAUACAGUGGCGGCGACCGGCGGAAGGGUGCGUAACACGUGAGCAACUUGCCCGUAACAGGGGGAUAAGCGCUGGAAACGGCGUCUAAUAUCCCAUAAUAUAUUUCACCGCAUGAUGGAAUAUUGAAAACUCCGGUGGUUACGGAUGGGCUCGCGGGACAUUAGCUAGUCGGCGGGGUAACGGCCCACCGAGGCGACGAUGUCUAGGGGUUCUGAGAGGAAGAUCCCCCACACUGGGACUGAGACACGGCCCAGACUCCUACGGGAGGCAGCAGUGAGGAAUAUUGGUCAAUGGGCGAGAGCCUGAACCAGCCAAGUAGCGUGCAGGAUGACGGCCCUACGGGUUGUAAACUGCUUUUGUAUGGGGAUAAAUUGCUCCACGUGUGGAGUAUUGCAGGUACCAUACGAAUAAGGACCGGCUAAUUCCGUGCCAGCAGCCGCGGUAAUACGGAAGGUCCGGGCGUUAUCCGGAUUUAUUGGGUUUAAAGGGAGCGCAGGCGGCCUUUUAAGCGUGACGUGAAAUGUAGGCGCUCAACGUCUGAAUUGCGUCGCGAACUGAUGGGCUUGAGUCUACGGAAUGCCGGCGGAAUUCGUGGUGUAGCGGUGAAAUGCUUAGAUAUCACGAAGAACUCCGAUUGCGAAGGCAGCUGGCAGCAGUCAGACUGACGCUCAUGCUCGAAAGUGCGGGUAUCGAACAGGAUUAGAUACCCUGGUAGUCCGCACGGUAAACGAUGGAUGCCCGCUGUUUGCCAUUUAGGCAAGCGGCCAAGCGAAAGCAUUAAGCAUCCCACCUGGGGAGUACGCCGGCAACGGUGAAACUCAAAGGAAUUGACGGGGGCCCGCACAAGCGGAGGAACAUGUGGUUUAAUUCGAUGAUACGCGAGGAACCUUACCCGGGCUUGAACUGCAGCAGAACGAAUCAGAGAUGAUGAGGCCCUUCGGGGCUGCUGUGGAGGUGCUGCAUGGUUGUCGUCAGCUCGUGCCGUGAGGUGUCGGCUUAAGUGCCAUAACGAGCGCAACCCUCUCUGCCAGUUGCCAUCACUGUGAGGUGGGCACUCUGGCGGUACUGCCACCGUAAGGUGUGAGGAAGGUGGGGAUGACGUCAAAUCAGCACGGCCCUUACGUCCGGGGCUACACACGUGUUACAAUGGCGCGUACAGAGGGCAGGUGCCGGGCAAUCGGCAUCGAAUCCUUAAAACGCGUCUCAGUUCGGACUGGGGUCUGCAACCCGACCCCACGAAGCUGGAUUCGCUAGUAAUCGCGCAUCAGCCAUGGCGCGGUGAAUACGUUCCCGGGCCUUGUACACACCGCCCGUCAAGCCAUGAAAGCCUGGGGCGCCUGAAGUCCGUGACCGCGAGGGUCGGCCUAGGGUGAGACAGGUGAUUGGGGCUAAGUCGUAACAAGGUAACCGUAA
This 1489-nucleotide ribosomal RNA is filed under the name uncultured bacterium. Its description in RNAcentral is "bacterial SSU rRNA". It matches the Rfam family "Bacterial small subunit ribosomal RNA". The record is from RNAcentral.